GGCAGAUUUGAAACGGGUAUUACCAAUGACACACGGAAUUGUAAAACUUCCCGGAUCUUUGCAUUUGGGAGGUAGUUUAUGUUGCAAGAUGGCGGAGACAUUCUCACUUACAUGUACCACCUCUUUCUCCCGGACACGUUUCUUUGUUGUGCAAAGCUUCUUUAAACACUUGGCAUACUUCGGGAUUUGCUUUAUGGCAUCAAGGAGGGGAAUGUUGACAUGCAC
This 225-nucleotide long non-coding RNA is filed under the name Malus domestica (apple). RNAcentral's name for it is "long non-coding RNA (MDOM_LNC003222)". Lineage: Eukaryota; Viridiplantae; Streptophyta; Magnoliopsida; Rosales; Rosaceae. The record is from RNAcentral.